This 1497-nucleotide ribosomal RNA is filed under the name Escherichia coli. Its description in RNAcentral is "partial 23S ribosomal RNA". It matches the Rfam family "Bacterial large subunit ribosomal RNA", at positions 1 to 1533 of the family's 2925-position model. Lineage: Bacteria; Pseudomonadati; Pseudomonadota; Gammaproteobacteria; Enterobacterales; Enterobacteriaceae. The record is from RNAcentral.
GGGUUGUGAGGUUAAGCGACUAAGCGUACACGGUGGAUGCCCUGGCAGUCAGAGGCGAUGAAGGACGUGCUAAUCUGCGAUAAGCGUCGGUAAGGUGAUAUGAACCGUUAUAACCGGCGAUUUCCGAAUGGGGAAACCCAGUGUGUUUCGACACACUAUCAUUAACUGAAUCCAUAGGUUAAUGAGGCGAACCGGGGGAACUGAAACAUCUAAGUACCCCGAGGAAAAGAAAUCAACCGAGAUUCCCCCAGUAGCGGCGAGCGAACGGGGAGCAGCCCAGAGCCUGAAUCAGUAUGUGUGUUAGUGGAAGCGUCUGGAAAGGCGCGCGAUACAGGGUGACAGCCCCGUACACAAAAAUGCACAUGCUGUGAGCUCGAUGAGUAGGGCGGGACACGUGGUAUCCUGUCUGAAUAUGGGGGGACCAUCCUCCAAGGCUAAAUACUCCUGACUGACCGAUAGUGAACCAGUACCGUGAGGGAAAGGCGAAAAGAACCCCGGCGAGGGGAGUGAAAAAGAACCUGAAACCGUGUACGUACAAGCAGUGGGAGCACGCUUAGGCGUGUGACUGCGUACCUUUUGUAUAAUGGGUCAGCGACUUAUAUUCUGUAGCAAGGUUAACCGAAUAGGGGAGCCGAAGGGAAACCGAGUCUUAACUGGGCGUUAAGUUGCAGGGUAUAGACCCGAAACCCGGUGAUCUAGCCAUGGGCAGGUUGAAGGUUGGGUAACACUAACUGGAGGACCGAACCGACUAAUGUUGAAAAAUUAGCGGAUGACUUGUGGCUGGGGGUGAAAGGCCAAUCAAACCGGGAGAUAGCUGGUUCUCCCCGAAAGCUAUUUAGGUAGCGCCUCGUGAAUUCAUCUCCGGGGGUAGAGCACUGUUUCGGCAAGGGGGUCAUCCCGACUUACCAACCCGAUGCAAACUGCGAAUACCGGAGAAUGUUAUCACGGGAGACACACGGCGGGUGCUAACGUCCGUCGUGAAGAGGGAAACAACCCAGACCGCCAGCUAAGGUCCCAAAGUCAUGGUUAAGUGGGAAACGAUGUGGGAAGGCCCAGACAGCCAGGAUGUUGGCUUAGAAGCAGCCAUCAUUUAAAGAAAGCGUAAUAGCUCACUGGUCGAGUCGGCCUGCGCGGAAGAUGUAACGGGGCUAAACCAUGCACCGAAGCUGCGGCAGCGACGCUGAUGCGUUGUUGGGUAGGGGAGCGUUCUGUAAGCCUGUGAAGGUGUGCUGUGAGGCAUGCUGGAGGUAUCAGAAGUGCGAAUGCUGACAUAAGUAACGAUAAAGCGGGUGAAAAGCCCGCUCGCCGGAAGACCAAGGGUUCCUGUCCAACGUUAAUCGGGGCAGGGUGAGUCGACCCCUAAGGCGAGGCCGAAAGGCGUAGUCGAUGGGAAACAGGUUAAUAUUCCUGUACUUGGUGUUACUGCGAAGGGGGGACGGAGAAGGCUAUGUUGGCCGGGCGACGGUUGUCCCGGUUUAAGCGUGUAGGCUGGUUUUC